RNAcentral lists this ribosomal RNA (368 nucleotides) under uncultured organism. Its description in RNAcentral is "bacterial LSU rRNA". It matches the Rfam family "Bacterial large subunit ribosomal RNA", at positions 2099 to 2465 of the family's 2925-position model. The record is from RNAcentral.
CUUUACUAUAACUUGACAUUGACUUUGGGCUCCUUUUGCGCAGUCUAGGUGGGAGGCUAUGAUAUCUUAUUUCCGGGUAAGAUGGAGCCGUUUUUGAGAGACCACUCUGAAAGAGCUAAAAUUCUAAUAGUGAUCCUUGAAUCAGGACACUUGACAGUGUCAGGCGGGUAGUUUUUCUGGGGCGGAAACCUCCUAAAAAGUAACGGAGGUGCGCAAAGGUUCCCUCAGGCUGGACGGAAAUCAGCUGUAGAGUGUAAAGGCAUAAGGGAGCUUGACUGCAAGACCUACAAGUCGAGCAGGGGCGAAAGCCGGCCGUAGUGAUCCGACGGUACCGCGUGGAAGGGCCGUCGCUCAACGGAUAAAAGUUA